This 253-nucleotide ribosomal RNA is filed under the name uncultured bacterium. RNAcentral's name for it is "partial 16S ribosomal RNA". It matches the Rfam family "Bacterial small subunit ribosomal RNA", at positions 524 to 776 of the family's 1533-position model. The record is from RNAcentral.
UACGUAGGGUGCAAGCGUUAAUCGGAAUUACUGGGCGUAAAGCGUGCGCAGGCGGCUUUGCAAGACAGAUGUGAAAUCCCCGGGCUUAACCUGGGAACUGCAUUUGUGACUGCAUGGCUAGAGUGCGGCAGAGGGGGGUGGAAUUCCACGUGUAGCAGUGAAAUGCGCAGAUAUCGGGAAGAACACCUGUGGCGAAGGCGGCUCUCUGGGACGGUACUGACGCUGAGACGCGAAAGCGUGGGGAGCAAACAGG